Molecule: long non-coding RNA, 1524 nt
Filed under: Olea europaea (common olive)
Lineage: Eukaryota; Viridiplantae; Streptophyta; Magnoliopsida; Lamiales; Oleaceae
Description: long non-coding RNA (OEUR_LNC006586)
Source: RNAcentral
AAAGUAGACUAAUCAAGCGAAUCGAUCCAGACAUACACAAAAUCGAUCCAAAUUAAGUUGAAGGGGCAACAAUAAUUGCUUAAUCUAUAUUUUAAUUGAUCCAGAUUAAGUUAAAGGGGCAACAAUAAUUGCUUAAUCUAUAUUUUAAAUUCAACACUAAACAAAAGCAGAUCCAUUUUUAAUGGUAAGCAUACAUGAAUUUCUUUGAAUUAAACUUCAGUUCGAAUUAAACUUGUAGCCAAUGGACCUGUAAGUAAAGUACGAGACUAUUGUGGAGUCAAUGGGAUGCAUUAAAAGAUAUGACCCAGAAGCACGGUUAGACACUUGAAAAUAUACAAAAGAACCAUCUAAUACUUGCAAAUUCAAUAGGCUGCCAGAAAGAUAUUCUGCCUAAGUAGUGAAAUGCACGUACUCAAGUCACGUAAUACGUUUCUUCUAGUUGGAACACAAAUUCAAUAUUAGCCAUAGUACCCCUCAUUCUCUGUUGUUAACAAUUGGUUUUCAAAAGUAAGCUAAACGAUAUCAAGUUGAACCAAAAUAAAAACAAUAUACAACAUAUGUUAAAAACUGAAGUCUCACACCAAAUAACCAAAUACCUAAUGUCCAGCUAAGUGAAAAGUUUACUAACAAAAUAGUAACCUCUCACUCCACUAUUUUUUGUGUGUCGGGCUCCGGCUUUAGUACAGUUAAUGCACUAGUUGCAUCAUCUUCUUUGUCAAAAACCUACAACAAUCUGCAAAUUUCUGACCAAAACAAGCUCAUACUUCAUAUAUAAUCAUCCAUCAAAUUGAAGCUCAGAAUCCCUAAUUCUUUUCAUGGGCAUAUAUGUGCUUGUCCACAUGAAAUUAUAAAGGUGAGAAUUGAAUUCCUAAACCCAAAAAUGUAAAAGGAAAAAGACACAACGAGAAAAAAAAUGAAAUUCCAAAAGGUUACCCAGUGAAAUGGUUGAUAGUCGGUUUAAAAUAUAAUUAACAAGAUAAGUGUAUAACAGGUUCGUCAAUACAUUGCCAUUCCAAAAAGUAGGACUAAAACACCUAAAAUCUAACAUAGAAGCAAAUUACAAAUCCUAAUUUGGAAACUAAUCACAAUGGUUCGUAAGAAUCUACGAACUGAAGAAGAAAAAAAUGAAAUAAGAGCAGACCAUAUGUAAUUUGAAAUAGGAAGGAGAGAGAAAGCAUUUACCCAACUCUUCAACUCUCAAAGGAAAAAAAAAGAAGAAGGUAUACACCACUUGUAAAUAUUAUAUUUAUGUAGUACAUACCAAAUUCGAGAUUUCGAAGGGAAAAACAGAGAUACGAGAUCAGAAUCAAACAGCGUGCAUCGUUGGUAUGGAUUAUGUGGAGAUUUUUUGGAUCGACAUCGCCGGUAUUUCAACAGUGGGGUGGUUCUGCGUGAAAAAUGGGAUGGGAGAAUAGUGUGAGAAGAAAGAGAAAGGGAAGGGUUUGGCAUGUUUAACUGGGUUUCUUUCACUUCCAAUUGCUUAGAAAAUGAAAAACUAGUUCAAUCAUGGGAAUUGAACUUCCU